Molecule: ribosomal RNA, 466 nt
Filed under: uncultured bacterium
Lineage: Bacteria
Description: partial 16S ribosomal RNA
Rfam family: Bacterial small subunit ribosomal RNA
Source: RNAcentral
GACGAACGCUGGCGGCGUGCUUAACACAUGCAAGUCGAACGGAAAGGCCCUGCUUGCAGGGUACUCGAGUGGCGAACGGGUGAGUAACACGUGGGUGAUCUGCCCUGCACUUCGGGAUAAGCUUGGGAAACUGGGUCUAAUACCGGAUAGGAGCCAUCUUUAGUGUGGUGGUUGGAAAGUUUUUUCGGUGUAGGAUGAGCUCGCGGCCUAUCAGCUUGUUGGUGGGGUAAUGGCCUACCAAGGCGGCGACGGGUAGCCGGCCUGAGAGGGUGUACGGCCACAUUGGGACUGAGAUACGGCCCAGACUCCUACGGGAGGCAGCAGUGGGGAAUAUUGCACAAUGGGCGCCAGCCUGAUGCAGCGACGCCGCGUGGGGGAUGAAGGCCUUCGGGUUGUAAACUCCUUUCGCUAGGGACGAAGCUUUGUUGUGACGGUACCUAGAUAAGAAGCACCGGCUAACUACGUG